This 104-nucleotide small nuclear RNA is filed under the name Prolemur simus (greater bamboo lemur). The record is from RNAcentral. Lineage: Eukaryota; Metazoa; Chordata; Mammalia; Primates; Lemuridae.
GUGCUCACUUCGGCAGCACAUAUAUUAAAAUUAGAACGAUACAGAGAUUAGCAGGGCCCCUGCACAAGGAUGACAUGCAAAUUUGCGAAGUGUUCCAUAUUUUA